Molecule: long non-coding RNA, 611 nt
Filed under: Canis lupus familiaris (dog)
Lineage: Eukaryota; Metazoa; Chordata; Mammalia; Carnivora; Canidae
Description: lncRNA (ENSCAFG00000054902.1)
Source: RNAcentral
AUUCCGGAACUCUGGGAUCACGCCCUGAGCCAAAGGCAGACAUUCAACCACUGAGCCACCCAAGCAUCCCACCAAAGCACUUUUUCUAUAAUGGUUUCCUUCCUCAGCCAGAUUUGCUACGACUCUUCACAUCAAAUGAAGCAAAAGAUUGCUGUAGAGAGCUGAACACAGGGAACAAACAAUGCAUUAAAAAGUUCUUUGUUGCAAGAAAAAUGCAAGACAAACAAUAAAGUUCAUAAAAACAUAUACAUUUAUAAUUGUGUCUUCAUUACUAACAGUCCUGAGCAGUUGAAUUGCCAGUUAGUAUGAGGUUUUCAAAACAGGCCUAAAUAACAUUCCACCAUAAAAAUAACAUUCAUAUGUAACCACUGACAAAUUGCCACUUGGCUAAGUUAUCUUGUUUCUAAUUUUACAGGUGUUAGAUCUGGCUUGCUUCAGUCAGCUUCUUUGUCAGUCUCAUCACCUGUGAUUUCCAGUUAAAACUUUAUCACACUUAGAUGAUUGGAAAACAGUAUAGACAUGUGAGGAAAUGAUUCAACUUCUGUGACACGAGCAUUCCUUAAUAAUUACUAGAAAAAUCUCCUGAGGGAACAUAUUCACAAACAUCCAAU